RNAcentral lists this ribosomal RNA (250 nucleotides) under uncultured bacterium. RNAcentral describes it as "partial 16S ribosomal RNA". It matches the Rfam family "Bacterial small subunit ribosomal RNA", at positions 524 to 773 of the family's 1533-position model. The record is from RNAcentral.
UACGAAGGGGGCUAGCGUUGUUCGGAAUCACUGGGCGUAAAGCGCAUGCAGGCGGAUCGUUAAGUCGGGGGUGAAAUCCCGAGGCUCAACCUCGGAACUGCCUCCGAUACUGGCGAUCUUGAGUCCGGAAGAGGUGAGUGGAAUUGCGAGUGUAGAGGUGAAAUUCGUAGAUAUUCGCAAGAACACCAGUGGCGAAGGCGGCUCACUGGUCCGGUACUGACGCUGAGAUGCGAAAGCGUGGGGAGCAAAC